AGCAGCCGCGGUAAUUCCAGCUCCAAUAGCGUAUAUUAAAGUUGUUGCAGUUAAAAAGCUCGUAGUUGAACUUCAGGCCUGGCUGGACGGUCCGCCUUCCGGGCGAGUACUGUCUGUGGUCGGGUCCUACCUUCUGGCGAAGCGUCAUGGCCUUAACCGGCCGUGGCGGGGAACCAGGACUUUUACUGUGAAAAAUUAGAGUGUUCAAAGCAGGCAAUUCGCUUGGAUACAUUAGCAUGGAAUAAUGGAAUAGGACAAUGGUUCUAUUUGUUGGUUUCUAGGACUGUUGUAAUGAUUAAUAGGGAUAGUUGGGGGCAUUAGUAUUCAAUUGUCAGAGGUGAAAUUCUUGGAUUUAUUGAAGACUAACUACUGCGAAAGCAUUUGCCAAGGAUGUUUUCAUUAAUCAAGAACGAAAGUUAGGGGAUCGAAGACGAUCAGAUACCGUCGUAG
RNAcentral lists this ribosomal RNA (450 nucleotides) under uncultured Paraglomus. RNAcentral's name for it is "SSU rRNA". It matches the Rfam family "Eukaryotic small subunit ribosomal RNA", at positions 569 to 1023 of the family's 1831-position model. Lineage: Eukaryota; Fungi; Glomeromycota; Glomeromycetes; Paraglomerales; Paraglomeraceae. The record is from RNAcentral.